Molecule: regulatory RNA element, 76 nt
Rfam family: c-di-GMP-I riboswitch aptamer
About the family: GEMM was predicted in a large-scale screen for bacterial structured RNA regulatory elements.
Source: Rfam
UACCUACAUUGGCAAAGUUAUCGAAAGAUAAUGACGCAAAGCUAUAGGGCCUUUAAUAUGGUAGCCAGCUGCCUUG